UACGUAGGUGGCAAGCGUUGUCCGGAUUUAUUGGGUUUAAAGGGUGCGUAGGCGGCUUUGUAAGUCAGUGGUGAAAUAUGGCAGCUCAACUGUCAGGGUGCCAUUGAUACUGCAGAGCUUGAGUACAGAUGAGGUAGGCGGAAUUGACGGUGUAGCGGUGAAAUGCUUAGAUAUCGUCAAGAACACCGAUAGCGAAGGCAGCUUACUGGGCUGUAACUGACGCUGAGGCGCGAAAGCUAGGGGAGCAAACGGG
RNAcentral lists this ribosomal RNA (253 nucleotides) under uncultured bacterium. Its description in RNAcentral is "partial 16S ribosomal RNA". It matches the Rfam family "Bacterial small subunit ribosomal RNA", at positions 524 to 776 of the family's 1533-position model. The record is from RNAcentral.